GACGAACGCUGGCGGCGUGCUUAACACAUGCAAGUCGAACGGAAAGGCCCUGCUUUUGUGGGGUGCUCGAGUGGCGAACGGGUGAGUAACACGUGAGUAACCUGCCCUUGACUUUGGGAUAACUUCAGGAAACUGGGGCUAAUACCGGAUAGGAGCUCCUGCUGCAUGGUGGGGGUUGGAAAGUUUCGGCGGUUGGGGAUGGACUCGCGGCUUAUCAGCUUGUUGGUGGGGUAGUGGUUUACCAAGGCUUUGACGGGUAGCCGGCCUGAGAGGGUGACCGGCCACAUUGGGACUGAGAUACGGACCAGACUCCUACGGGAGGCAACAGUGGGGAAUAUUGCGCAAUGGGCGGAAGCCUGAUGCAGCAACGCCGCGUGCGGGAUGACGGCCUUCGGGUUGUAAACCGCUUUCGCCUGUGACGAAGCGGGAGUGACGGUAAUGAGUAAAGAAGCACCGGCUAACUACGUG
RNAcentral lists this ribosomal RNA (468 nucleotides) under uncultured bacterium. RNAcentral's name for it is "partial 16S ribosomal RNA". It matches the Rfam family "Bacterial small subunit ribosomal RNA", at positions 28 to 507 of the family's 1533-position model. The record is from RNAcentral.